This is a long non-coding RNA of Oncorhynchus gorbuscha (pink salmon), 511 nucleotides long. RefSeq lists it as uncharacterized. The transcript has 3 exons. The record is from RefSeq and is a predicted model, not a curated record. Lineage: Eukaryota; Metazoa; Chordata; Actinopteri; Salmoniformes; Salmonidae.
AUAUAAGCAUUAUUUUAUCAAUAACAGUAUACAAUAUCAAUGUAUAACUGUACUUCGCUAUUUUAAACUCGUCAAAGGGAAAAAGAGUUCCACUGGGGUGAACAGAGGGUGGGCAUUUCCCAACUCCCUUCCGGAACCGUAUUUUAACCCUGGGAUUCAGGUCGGACCUCCUUUAUCAGCACACCGUGGCAUCCAUCACUGCUGAGGAAUAGAGAUACAGAGCUGUGAAACCCUGUCUGCAGAUGAAGAGCAAUGGUUCCCAGUCCUGUUCCUGGGGUCUCAAAGGGAUGGCUUGCAACUUGAAAUUUCUUCAAAACGAUUGUCACUGUGUAGGGCACUGCACAGUUGGGUGACCAGGGCCAUCUGGGACUGUUGUCGUGGAGAUUUCCUCUAUUUACCAAAUCAUGGGAGCAAACCACACACACAAGUCAGAGUUAGUUAUAAAAGUCCACCUUUAAUUAUAUGAGCUCUAUCACAAUCCUGUGACUCUCAGAUAAAUUCAGUGUCCCUC